CCACUCAUAAGGGGAGAACGCUGCUCUUCUGUUUGCUCCCACUGAUCUUUAGAAAUAAUUUCUGGGAGCACAGGGCUCUGCCUCUAUGAUGUACAGUCCCUUUCCACAAAGUUGGAGAUGAAGCUGGGCCUUGAUUUCUUGGAGCCCUCUGGACAAGGAGACACUC
This 166-nucleotide small nucleolar RNA is filed under the name Jaculus jaculus (lesser Egyptian jerboa). Its description in RNAcentral is "Small nucleolar RNA SNORA73 family (ENSJJAG00000006542.1)". Lineage: Eukaryota; Metazoa; Chordata; Mammalia; Rodentia; Dipodidae. The record is from RNAcentral.